GACAGAGGGUGCAAACGUUGCUCGGAAUUACUGGGCGUAAAGCGUGCGCAGGCGGUUUUGUAAGUCUGUCGUGAAAUCCCCGGGCUCAACCUGGGAAUUGCGAUGGAGACUGCAAGGCUAGAAUCUGGCAGAGGGGGGUAGAAUUCCACGUGUAGCAGUGAAAUGCGUAGAUAUCUGGAGGAACACCGGUGGCGAAGGCGGCAUCCUGGACCGGUAUUGACGCUGAGGAGCGAAAGCGUGGGGAGCGAACAGG
This 253-nucleotide ribosomal RNA is filed under the name uncultured bacterium. RNAcentral's name for it is "partial 16S ribosomal RNA". It matches the Rfam family "Bacterial small subunit ribosomal RNA", at positions 524 to 776 of the family's 1533-position model. The record is from RNAcentral.